RNAcentral lists this unclassified non-coding RNA (325 nucleotides) under uncultured fungus. Its description in RNAcentral is "partial contains small subunit ribosomal RNA, internal transcribed spacer 1, and 5.8S ribosomal RNA". The stretch from base 1 to 73 matches the Rfam family "Eukaryotic small subunit ribosomal RNA", at positions 1759 to 1831 of the family's 1831-position model. Lineage: Eukaryota; Fungi. The record is from RNAcentral.
GCAAACUUGGUCAUUUAGAGGAAGUAAAAGUCGUAACAAGGUUUCCGUAGGUGAACCUGCGGAAGGAUCAUUAUCGAGUUUUGAAAGGAGUUGUAGCUGGCCUUUGCGGAGGCAUGUGCACGCUCUGUUCAAUCCACUCUCUACACCUUGUGCACUCACUGUGGGUCUUCGGAUGGUUUGCAGCUAGCUCUGUGAACCUCUUGGGGGCUCACGUUUCACUUUACAAACACUUAUGAAGUAACAGAAUGUGUAUCUUGAUGUAACGCAUCUAUAUACAACUUUCAGCAACGGAUCUCUUGGCUCUCGCAUCGAUGAAGAACGCAGC